Thalictrum thalictroides is the source of this 277-nucleotide non-coding RNA. Lineage: Eukaryota; Viridiplantae; Streptophyta; Magnoliopsida; Ranunculales; Ranunculaceae. The record is from the annotation of a GenBank genome assembly.
GCCGGGCUCAGUAACAUGAGCUUGUAACUCGAGUGAGGGCAUUAAGGUGAUUAGACUUGGCUCUGUCUAAUCUGGUUGGGCUUGUGUGUGCAAUUUACUGACUUGCCUGUUCCAAGUUGGGAGUUGGGCUAUGUAGAAUGGGUGAAGCAUGUCCUUGUCGACUCCUAAAGUGGAGGGUACCUUGUUUACAUGACCCUCGGCGGUGGAAAUAUAACCAGAUUGAUGCACCAUGAGUGUAUUUGCCCAGAUUAGCCGAAACCAAAGAACAAUUACAGUA